This 380-nucleotide ribosomal RNA is filed under the name uncultured bacterium. Its description in RNAcentral is "bacterial SSU rRNA". It matches the Rfam family "Bacterial small subunit ribosomal RNA", at positions 30 to 408 of the family's 1533-position model. The record is from RNAcentral.
AUUGAACGCUGGCGGCAUGCCUUACACAUGCAAGUCGAACGGCAGCGGACCUUCGGGUGCCGGCGAGUGGCGAACGGGUGAGUAAUAUAUCGGAACGUACCUUUCAGUGGGGGAUAACGUAGCGAAAGUUACGCUAAUACCGCAUAUUCUGUGAGCAGGAAAGCAGGGGAUCGCAAGACCUUGCGCUGAUUGAGCGGCCGAUAUCAGAUUAGCUAGUUGGUGAGGUAAAGGCUCACCAAGGCGACGAUCUGUAGCGGGUCUGAGAGGAUGAUCCGCCACACUGGAACUGAGACACGGUCCAGACUCCUACGGGAGGCAGCAGUGGGGAAUUUUGGACAAUGGGCGCAAGACCUCGAUCCACGCCACUGCCGCGUCGAGUG